Parus major (Great Tit) is the source of this 892-nucleotide long non-coding RNA. NCBI's taxonomy places the organism in Eukaryota, Metazoa, Chordata, Aves, Passeriformes, Paridae. The record is from Ensembl.
AUUAGGAUUUAAAAGGUCCACAAAAGGGCAACAAGGAUGUUUCAUUUCCUUCAGAAAUGUUUUCUGCAUGAGCAGCAGCUUCAUAGGCUGGAGAUCCUCAGCCUUGAAAAGAAACUUUAGGAUGGUUUGGUGGAGCUCAGUACAAGCUAUGGGUGACAUGAAGACUGUCAGUGCAUUUCAUUUGCCAAAAAUGAGAACUGAGGCCAUCAUGUUCAGAUAUAAGGGCCUGGCUCAGAACUAACUAAAGAGGAUGUUUCUCCAUAUGAUGAAUCAUGGACCUGUGGGAGAGCUUGCUGGAGGACGCUGUGUAUAAAAUUUGCACAAUAUCAACAGGCAACUGAACAAAUACUUGCAAGAAUUGCCCUCUGGAGGUGACUAAGUAGGAAAAUCUCAUCAAGAUAAGGAAUCCUUGAGCUGAAAAUAGUAGCAGUCUGAAUAUGCAAAGGAGUACAUAUGCUUGGAUAUAUCUUGCCUUGGAUUUUUACCUGUGGAUACUGAUGGACACAAGAUACUCAGCAAGAUGGAGUGUUGGCCUAAGUCAGAACAGCUGGUAUUGCAUUUAUCUAACUAUGGACUUAUACGGAAUGUCAAUGUACUCAGUGGCCAGGAGGAUGUUUUGGCUGGAAAAGGAAGCUGCAAUGGAUAACUUGAGCAAGCUCAAUCUCAUCUCUUGAGAUCCCCAGGAGGAGUGAAGACUACAAACACUUUCUUUAAUCUCUGAACACAUAAAUGAACAUAAAACUGUGCAUAAUGCUUAGGAAGUGGAACAGCAAGAAAGAAACUUUACUCUGACAGAUUUUAUUUUUAUAAGGGUUUCAUUUGGUGCUUUUAACACAGGUAAAUGUACCUUGACAAUAUGCCAGAAAAAGAAAUAAAAUAAUUUCAACUGCCA